This 234-nucleotide long non-coding RNA is filed under the name Elaeis guineensis (African oil palm). RNAcentral describes it as "long non-coding RNA (EGUI_LNC057512)". Lineage: Eukaryota; Viridiplantae; Streptophyta; Magnoliopsida; Arecales; Arecaceae. The record is from RNAcentral.
UGCUAGUCUUUGUAUGGACAUUCUGUAGAGAUCAGACGACUUCAUGUGGCUAUGAGCAAUUUGAAGGAGAUCCUUUCUAAGCAUUGGACCAGUAGAGGUCAAAAAUCUUCAGUUUGAUAAUAAUUUCUAAGCUUUCUUGAUCGUGUUUAUUAGAUCUAACGGUUAGAUCUACAUGGUAGCAUCGAUUAGAUCGAUGCAAAUUUUUAUUUUCGAAUCUCAUAUGCAUAUUAAAUC